Molecule: long non-coding RNA, 1084 nt
Organism: Entelurus aequoreus (snake pipefish)
Lineage: Eukaryota; Metazoa; Chordata; Actinopteri; Syngnathiformes; Syngnathidae
Exons: 3
Source: RefSeq, a predicted model, not a curated record
AUAGUGUUUUUUUCUAAUAGUGUGUCUGAUUAUUUUAUUUAUGUUUUAAAAAGCUUUUUGUGCACAUUCUACAAUAACUAAAUGUCGGUCACAAUAACUGUGAUAUGAAAUUCUUAUUGUUACACAUGUAUUUUUACAUCAUUACAAUAUGUCUUCAACCCUUGGAAGAUAGAGAAGACAUAUGGACACAUUUUACACUUGCAAGGUAGACAAAACACAUAAACCCUGUGGCUUAAUUUUCUCUAGCAAAAACACAACCAAGUCGAAGCUUCUUCUGCAGGCUAUUCAUCAGAACAUCUGCACAACACCACCACCCAACACUCAUGAGGAUAGGACCGUAGCUCGAACAGGAAAUUGAGAGCUUUGUCUUCUGGCUCACUAAGACAGUCUGAUACAGCGACUCCAUUACUCAGCUCACUCCAACCGAUAUAUUUGAACUCUUCCAAUGGGAUUUGGAGGUGCUGAGUCUCAUCUGAAAAGCUUCACAUUCAGCCGCGAAGCACACCAGUCAACAAGAAGAUCACAGCUUGAUCAAGACCAAAAUGCCCAGAUGAGUUCUGAGCACCCCUAAGUUGGACACCCUCAACACAUUGGCCGGGCCAAGAAAGUCUGUCCAAAAAAAUAAUGAAAAGGGGCCUCAUGUAAAAAAAAAUGGUGUCGAAUUUUGGCUAAAAACAUGCAAAAAUAUUGAGGCUUAAAAAAAAGCUUGCCGCAAACGCACCUUCAUGCAGUUUGAAGUGUGUAUACAUAACCCCACCUCGCAUCUCGCCCUCCCCACACCUAAUCUUGCCAUAUGAGGUCAAUGCAAAAGGACUUAAUAAAAACUGAAAACUGUUCGAAGGGGUGGAGUCAAAUUCCACUGCUCCUGUGCGCCGCGCAAAAACAAAGUUGUCAAGAGAGACAAGAGACAGAGCUGAGGAAAAGUCGAGAACUAAUAAUAAUAAUUACAAAAUAACUCCAAACAAGUCUUGAAUCCUGACAGUGAUGGCCCUUAUCACAUUUUGGACAUUUAUUGGAUGUUACCUGUAGAUGAAUAUCUGUUUAUAACUUUUUGUUUGUUAUGUAUAGCAGAAUGAAAUAAAUG